Molecule: long non-coding RNA, 196 nt
Organism: Thalassophryne amazonica
Lineage: Eukaryota; Metazoa; Chordata; Actinopteri; Batrachoidiformes; Batrachoididae
Exons: 3
Source: RefSeq, a predicted model, not a curated record
UGAGGGAAAAAUUGGUAAAAAAAAUGCUAAAAAAAUUUAAAAAACAUUAAGGGCAAUUCUUUGUAACGCAGGGAUGUGGGUGUUAAUUUGUGUGAUAAUGUUGUGAUAAAAUGUUCAAGGUUGUAUAAAUGUUUUCAUAUGACAAAUUUAUGGGUAUAUUUUCAAACGGAAAUAAAUCUCAAUCAUACCCCCGACA